UACCAGCACCCCGAGUGGUCGGGACGUUUAUUGGGCCUAAAGCAUCCGUAGCCGGUUCUACAAGUCUUCCGUUAAAUCCACCUGCUUAACAGAUGGGCUGCGGAAGAUACUAUAGAGCUAGGAGGCGGGAGAGGCAAGCGGUACUCGAUGGGUAGGGGUAAAAUCCGUUGAUCCAUUGAAGACCACCAGUGGCGAAGGCGGCUUGCCAGAACGUGCUCGACGGUGAGGGAUGAAAGCUGGGGGAGCAAACCGG
This 253-nucleotide ribosomal RNA is filed under the name uncultured bacterium. RNAcentral describes it as "partial 16S ribosomal RNA". It matches the Rfam family "Archaeal small subunit ribosomal RNA", at positions 474 to 727 of the family's 1478-position model. The record is from RNAcentral.